ACCUCCCUUAUUAGCACAGAGUAGUAUAGUGCAUGUUCUUGUGCUACCAGACAGUACUUGUGCAUUGCUAGACUCCUUUCCCCCAUUUAGAUCGACUGAUUUCCACCUUGAAAGGCUGUACCACUGCACAGCCUCCCACUUCACCACUGUGGCUGCAUUUAGUCCCAUUGGAAAAUGCAGAUUGAUAAAAGAUGUUCUUGUUUUGGAGCACCUGCUAUAACCAUGUAAACAGACUGCCAGAAGAAGUCUGGGAGCUCAGCCAUAGGGAAAAAUGGAGGAGUAUACCCCACCAUCAGGAAAGCAAAUUCUUUAGAUGAAGUGUUAUGAAUGGAAGAUGAAAUGGCACAUGCUGAACACCUCCAGCACCCUCUACUGCUCCUCACAGGAUCUGUGCUCCAGACCCUUCACCAGCUCUGUUCUACUCGCUCCAGUGCCUUGAUGUCUUUCUUGUCAUGAAGGGCCCAGAACUGAAGACAGGACUCGAGGUGUGGCUUCACCAAUGCCCAGUGCCGUGGAACUGUGCUUUGUAUUCGCAUUUUUUAGCUACAGACGUAUGUUACCACAUGUGGUUUCUGGGCUUGCAAAGUGUUUCUGCCGCAUUUCAGAGUGUGAGCCAAAAAUGCUACUGCUUUGCCUUGCCUUCAAAGUUCAGCAUUAGGAUUUAAGGAAACAACAGCAGAGUAUGUAGCAUAUAAAAUGUUUUGGUAGCUAUUGAAACUAAAGCAAGAAAUAGAAAAUUAAAGUGAUGAAAUGCAAAGAAUCCAAAGACUCACCAAAUCCUUGCUGAGAGAUAAAGACUGCUUCCACUUGAGUUUCAGAUAGUCAUAUGUUUGUCUGAAAAAUGGAUGUGAAUAAUGAGACCUUGUUUAUCUUCCGUAGGCCAUAAGCAUCUUUCCUGUUAGUAGCACUGCAGAAGCUGUUCCAGCCACUGUGCAGGUUUGUGGAAAUUGUGUGUGGGUCUUGUGUGCACACAUACAUGAUGAUGUAAGUUUGCUAUGGUAUGGUAGGUAUUGGUCUUUGAAUUUAUAUUGGGUGAAGGCAACAAUUGUCUUUUGUGUUCACUGCUAUUUUUUGCCAAUAUUUAAAAAUUUAGAAAACCCUUGCAUUUCACCACUGUCUGUAGAAUUGGGGCAGCAUAUUAGCUAUGAAAAAUAAAAGACACAGAAAAAAAUCUUGUGAAAUCACUCCUUUGAACCUGAAAUAAAAACAUUGUUAUGCCCAGAGAUUAAUUAUGAAUAAUCGGAUUCUGACUUUAAUCUGUUCAGUUAAGGGGGGAAGCAUAGAUGAGUUGAGGAGGAAUAUUUUUCCAUCUUAAAAUGAUCAAAGUAUUUUUGUAUAUUUGCAGAA
Long non-coding RNA from Zonotrichia leucophrys gambelii, 1347 nucleotides. RefSeq lists it as uncharacterized. NCBI's taxonomy places the organism in Eukaryota, Metazoa, Chordata, Aves, Passeriformes, Passerellidae. The record is from RefSeq and is a predicted model, not a curated record. The transcript is spliced from 3 exons.